Molecule: long non-coding RNA, 240 nt
Organism: Hippocampus zosterae (dwarf seahorse)
Lineage: Eukaryota; Metazoa; Chordata; Actinopteri; Syngnathiformes; Syngnathidae
Exons: 2
Source: RefSeq, a predicted model, not a curated record
UAGAUGAAUCAAUAUACAUGAUUUCUUCAAUUUUUUUUGACCAAUUACCGGUGAGUGAAAUUUCCCAAGGCACAAUUUAAGAGCUCUCAUGGGACCCUAAUGUGCCCUGGCACACUGGUCAGGAAUCGCUUUGCCGCUACAUGUACGUUUGACAUCAAGUUAUGUCAAGCAAAAAUACAAAUAAAGUUGACACACCACAGACAAGCGUGCUGUUAACAAACCUGCAAGAUUUCGAUUGUC